This 163-nucleotide ribosomal RNA is filed under the name fungal sp. Its description in RNAcentral is "partial large subunit ribosomal RNA". It matches the Rfam family "Eukaryotic large subunit ribosomal RNA", at positions 99 to 261 of the family's 3401-position model. The record is from RNAcentral. Lineage: Eukaryota; Fungi.
CGGCAACAGCUCAAAUUUGAAAUCUGGCUCUUUCAGGGUCCGAGUUGUAAUUUGUAGAAGAUGCUUCGGGUGUGGCUCCGGUCUAAGUUCCUUGGAACAGGACGUCAUAGAGGGUGAGAGCCCCGUCUGGCUGGCCACCGAGCCUCUGUAAAGCUCCUUCGAC